GUAAUCUUUCAAUUCAUUUAUUGUUUACUGAGGUGAUAACUAUUUCAUAAUUUGUGUGUAACUUUAAUUUGUGUGUAAAUGUGUUACUUUUACUGUAGUUUUCAAAUGGCUGUGUAUAUAUAAGUAUAUGUCUCUUUUAGGUUGACCACCCUAUAUAUGAGAGCCUAAGGAGUUGUUUUCCCUCUGUCCCCUUUUGAGGACCUCCUUUGUCUCCUCCAUCAUUCACUGGGCCACUUUUGGGUUCCUGAGCUCAUUUCAUGUGGUUUUCCUGACCUGCUAGAAGUUCUUCUAUGAUGCUUGAGUCAUCCAUCAUAUCUGAGAGCUUCGUCUUGACUUUGUCAUGAAUUUGGUGAGGAGCGGAGCUGGCUGGCUGCGGACGAGGAAGUAGGGCAAUACAUACUUGUGCACAUACACAUAUAUGAGAAUGCAUAUCUAUUCAGACCUGUAACCCAUGUCUUAGACUUUUUCACACAGCUAUAUAUUUUUUUUUUUCUCACCGUUGAGCGAGUGAGUUUCAGCUCUAAUGCUGCUACUGUCUGUAAUAUGUUUCUAUUUAGAUUAUUUGUCAGGAUAUUUUUUUGUUAUUAUUGUCCGAGUCUGGUUUUAACUAAUGCUGGGCUUACAGACUAAAAACUGAAAGGGUAGCAUAAAGGUUCUUCCCGUUAGUCUCGUCCCACCCCUAGUCAUGACAUAACUUCUGUUAUGAUUUGACACUAUAAUGAAUAAAGAUUGAUUGAUUGAUUGCUAUAGCUGUCAAUUUUAGUCCUUGAGUUCAUAGUUAAGUGCUUUAUUUGUUAACUGCUAUCAAGGAAUAUGACUCUUCUUUGUAGUAUGCAUGAGAGAAGAUGCCGCGAGAUUAGUGGACUUCUAUGUAGUGUCCGCUGAUAAUGUAGUGGGCUGGUCUGGACAGAAAAUGCCAGGGCUGAAUUUUUGUCCCAGUCCA
This is a long non-coding RNA of Seriola aureovittata, 943 nucleotides long. RefSeq lists it as uncharacterized. NCBI's taxonomy places the organism in Eukaryota, Metazoa, Chordata, Actinopteri, Carangiformes, Carangidae. The transcript has 3 exons. The record is from RefSeq and is a predicted model, not a curated record.